Brassica rapa (field mustard) is the source of this 550-nucleotide long non-coding RNA. RefSeq lists it as uncharacterized. Lineage: Eukaryota; Viridiplantae; Streptophyta; Magnoliopsida; Brassicales; Brassicaceae. The record is from RefSeq and is a predicted model, not a curated record.
GUUUAGAGCCUUUGAUGUCUCCGUUUUUCAAGAAAAUUGUGAUUUUAUAGUGGUUAUUCCAUCAAUUUAGGGAGUAUUAUGAAGUUUUACUAAAUUAAUUGAUAAAAACAAUUGAACGAUGCUCAUUUACAAUGAAAAACAGUUUAGCAUACAUUAAUACAAAUUUAGAAUAUGGUUAGAAAUUUUAAAACAACACUAAAGAUUAUAGGCUUUAGUAUAUAAUGUAUUUACCAAAAGCUCAAAAUAUUUGUAGGGGUUAGUUAGCCCAUAGAUUUUGAGAAAAUUUCAAAAAAUAUUAUAAUAUUGGUUUAAUGCCUAGUUGCAUCCUGCACUAACAUAUGAUGAUGUUCAAAGAGGUUUGGAGCCUUUGUCGUCUCCGUUUAUCAAGAAAAUAAUAAUUUUAUAGUGGUUAUUCCAUCGAUUUAGGGAGUGUUAUGAAGUUUUACUAAAUUAAUUGAUAAAAACAAUUGAACGAUGCUCAUUUACCAUGAAAAAGAGUUUAGCAUACAUUAAUAAAAAUGUAGAAUAUGGUAGAAAUUUUAAAACAACA